Molecule: long non-coding RNA, 250 nt
Organism: Malaclemys terrapin pileata
Lineage: Eukaryota; Metazoa; Chordata; Testudines; Emydidae
Exons: 3
Source: RefSeq, a predicted model, not a curated record
UCCACUGGAGGAUUGAGGCCUCAGGAGACAAAUUCUAGGACCAUGUGAUGACCUCACAUCAGGGCACUACAUAGCAUGUAAACAGACCAUCAUCCUCAGGGAGCUGCUCAUUGGUCCAGUUUCCCUCAGAAGGUUGAGCCAGAACAGACAUUCCCUUGUGCACUCAGAGGACUCUCAGGAUCCAAGAAAGAGUUCCACUGCUCCCUGGAAGACCUUUCCCAAGCAUUUAUGGAAAUGGGAGAGCCAGCCC